This 4970-nucleotide long non-coding RNA is filed under the name Homo sapiens (human). Its description in RNAcentral is "HSALNT0138881". The record is from RNAcentral. Lineage: Eukaryota; Metazoa; Chordata; Mammalia; Primates; Hominidae.
AGAGGACUCAUCUCGUUGGUCAUCAGUAGAAAACUUUAUGGGAAGCCUAAAGGUAGCCAUGCUACCUUAUAAAUGUGCAUAGUCCAUGCAUAAGAAUGCAUUUCAGGAAAUCUUGAAUUCUUAUCUUGGUCUUUUUCAGUUAAAGUAGGAGAAGAAUACUUAAAAAGAGACCAUAAUCAUAACCCAGAAUCAAAUGGCACUGAAAGGUGACUCAAGAAGUUUGUAGAAGAACUCUGAUCAAGAAUUUUAACUCAGAUAAGUAUUCCUAUCAUUAUUUUUCUCUAUUGGUGGUCAUUGAGCUGGCUCUAAAUACUUGGAUACAUAAGGAAAAGAUACAAUAGUUAAUUUUUUGUUGUCAAGUUAGGAAAACUUGUCAUGAAUAUUUAUGUAUCACCGUUGUAGUCACACAGCAUGGAUUUAGUGUUGUAUUCUUUCACUUAUUCCCCUUAUGAUCUAGAACAAACUCCUAGGAUCUUCAGUUUCAUUACUUGUAAAAUGGGCAUAAUAAUAGUAUGUGAUAUCAUUGUAUUAAAGAUAAUUGGGACAAUGCCUGUACGCCAAUUCCUUUAUAAAACCAAGUGCUCAAAAAAUGGUAGUUAUUAUUAUUUUUAUUAUUAUUUUAUUGAUUGCUGAAGGCUUUAUGUGAAAUGACUGCUCUGAACUGUACUUGGAGCAAAAAUAUAGAAUUUUAAUGAAUCAUCACAACACUUUAUGAUAUAGAUAUUAUUAUCUCAAUUUUGUAUUUAAGCAAACUAAUUGGGAAUGUUAUAAAGCAUGCUCAAACUGACUGGUGACAGAGUGAAGAUUCCAAACCAGGUCUAUGCUUUUAGUCAUUCCUCUUUACUAUACACCUCUCUUAAAAGCCACAAGAGACCAUUCACUUCAAUUACCUAUUCUGACCUCAUAAAUAGAUGGCUGCUUAGUUCUUGGUAUUUAGGGGAACUAAAAAAUGCCCUUCUCCAAUAUUACAAGUAUCAGAGAACAUUAACUAAAGUAUUUACCACUUUCACCCUGAGGAACAGAGAAGCCAUGUUGGACAUAGGAAGGACAGUGGGAAACUGAGAACACCAAAUAUAAUGUUUAUUCACUGUAUGAUUUUGGUAAGGGCAGCCGUUGAUAAAUGUUCCUUAGUAUUCUCUAUUAAAAAACCAGAAAACUAAAUAUUAAGUAUCUGCAUGUAUAUUUAUGAAUGUUCAAAUGAGGUGUCUAUUAAUUUCAGAGAACACAUACACUGAGACAAUUGCAUUAUAUACACCACUGUUCUGGUACAUUUAUUAGUGGUUUCAAAUCAUGUAACAAACACUAUCUAAGUCCUCUUGGUGACAAAGGCAAUUGUGUGCAAAUUCCUGAUGAUGGAAUUAAUAAUUUAUUUUACUAUGGGCAUUUUAAACCAGAAGUUUAAAUUUAAAACAGGUAUUCUUCAAAACAGUAUAGUUAAAAGGCCAGAGAUGUGAAGCCAUAACCUGACCAAUGACAUUCAGGUCAUGAGUAAACAUAUGGUCUGCCACAGUGACUCAAUUAACCAUCCAUCAAUGUAAUUGCAUAAUACAUCAGAGGAGGUAGUCUCCUACCAGUGAGGGUCAGCAUCCCCUAUUAAAUUUAACAGGAAAAGCAUCACUUUGCCAUUAGCUUCUUUGGCUAUAUAUUUUUAAAUAUUUUGAAAAUACAUUCGAUACUGUAUUUUAUACUUACUGUUCUCUGGAAGAAAUUUUUGACAAACUGAUAUUUGGGCUGCUGGUUAAGAAAUAAUUCUACUUAUAAUAAAGCUGGCAUAAAUGAAAAGCACAACUUACAAGACAAGUAUUGCAUUUUAAUCAAUUCUAAUCACGUUAUUGUUGAGAUAAGAAAGAAGGAGGUAUACCAUUUAUACAUUAUGUAAAUUGUACAUAAAGUUAACAUGUUACAAACUUCUAUGAAGAGAUAUGGCUGAACUGGUUUAUGCAAUCUUUGUGAACAUUAAACCUUCUUGGCAUAGUACACAUGAUAAAAUAAUGGCAAUGCCUUAUUAAGUAAUUUUUUAAAAAAAUGUAUGGGGUAUUAAACUAGAUUGUCAGUAUGAUAGAGAGCUUGAAAUCAAGAACAAAUAAACAUAAUACUGGGUUUAUGCUUCAUAAGCAAGAUGUACUUAGUAAAUCAGGAAAUGCUCUGUUCCUAUCUGGUAUGUUUCUCCUUCUUUUGAGGUUCACAUCCUGAGGGAGAGUUGUACAUUAUUAAUGUUAUGUGCAUUUAAACCUACACCUUAGCAUCAAGAAAAAAUAGUGGAGAGAACUUAAAAGAGAUAUUUUAGCUAAUAGAUACAUAGUUCUCACUUGCAUUGUAUGCAACCUGCAUUCCCUUUGUAGACAGAAAGUAACCAUUGGCCAAGGCCCUAUUCCUAUAGGAUUAUUGAUAUAGAAAAAAAUGAUACCCCUAGAUUUCUGCUUUCUUCAGGACUCCACCUUCCUCUGGUAUAAUACAAUUUUUUUCUGACCUACAGUUGUUUGAUAUAAAAUCUUACUAUAUUUUUUGUUUUAUUUAUUUUUGGGGGGACUUGGCACAUCACUUUAGAAUAAAGUACAAUAUUACUAAAUAGUCAACUAGAAUUAUAAAAUAUUAGCAAUAUUUACCUUCUAACAAAACACAAGCUGAAUGUAUUAACUGAUUACCAGUUAUAUUAGGUAACAGUUUGGAAAAAAAUGGCACAGGGCAAGAAGAAAAAAUGAACAAGUCUUCAAAAAUUGUUCUAAGAAACUAAACUACUGUGGCUAUCGGCUCUGAUGAGAAUGGUGAAAUUGUUUGGAGAGGAAACCAGACAUUGCAAUGAAAAAAUAAUCUCUAUUACUAAAACUAACUUAAAAAGCCAAUAUCUAUAUACUGUUUACUGUGAGCUCAAGUAAGAACUAUUCCCUAUUUCAAAACUGUCAGUCCUCCCAGUCCUUUAUAUUUGCAUUAUCAACAAGCCUGUAUAUAUUACUGAAAAUUCUUUAGUGUUAAGUAUACUCUUUUUAACAAUUUUUUUCUGGAUAUAGAGAUAUAAUCAUAGAAUAAAGUUCUUCUGGAGUUUGAAAACAACUUUUGUCAGAAAUACAUUGUUUUCCUAGAAAGUCAUGAGGGUUGCUGAGAUUAUUCUUGCCCAUCAAAAUCUCUGUCUCAUUAGUUAUGCCAUACUACCUAGGGAAAAUAUCAACAGUGUUCUCCUCACGCAUAGGCAGCAGGUUCUGUGUUACAUCAGUACCAAUGCCAAAGCCUUGGCAUGCUGAAUUAGCAAAUUCCACUUGGAAACUGAACUGCAACUGGCUUGCUUUUACCAUUACGGUUGGGCUUGCAGGCUACCCUGGUUCACCUGCUAUGCCACUGUACUGAGGAAAUAUAAUUUUUGUGAAUUAGUUCUGUCUGAUAAUACUUUAUACUUUCUCCUAUUUUUUUUUAAAAAAGAUGUAGAAUUGAUAGGGAUUUACUUAAAAUAAAAUUAGUCUGUUGUAACUCCUUUAUGCUUCACUUUGAAUAGAUGAGCCAACGUUUUACUUGAGUGAAUACAUAAAGGCCAUGAUAGUUUAACUUUUACAACUCUCAUUAUUCUACCUCCAAGCUUAUUUAUCCCUUGUUUGCUCCUUCCUUACUUCAGGGGUCAAUAAUUUUUAAUGAGAUAACUGAAAGGAACAGUUUUGGGGGUUUGGAGAAAGGUAAAAUCAUAAUCACCAGGAAUUCAUUGCAGAACUCCACGUAAUUACUGUGAAGAGACUGAAGUUUUCAGGCCCCACUUGAAUUACCAGGGUCCCUUUAGAGUGAAAAAUGUAUGAAUCUCUUCCCUGGAGUUGUAGAGGACUUGGAUAUACAUUCUAGAAUAUGAAGAUUGAUUGAAAUUCUUAGAAGCAGAAAGUGGAAGAGAGAGACAAAGUGAGAAGAAAAAUAGCUGCAUGUUUCUAUUUUAUGCAGGGCCAGGCUUGGGCUAUUAUGAAUGUUGCUGAACACUGUUAAUCAAGCUUACACAGCUAUUUUGAUGGCAAACAAUUAGAACUCUGCAGCUCUACCUUGCAAUUAGCUUCAGGGAUACGGACCUGCACACCCUAAUAAUGAAAGAGACCUCCUUCAAGCACGGAACAGGUUACCUACCCCUACAGCAAAGCAAGUAACCAAUUAACUAACCACUCCAACCUAUAUUUGUCACUAAUGUUAUAUAACUACAAUUUCUUCCAAUUUUUCAUUGCCAAAGUUCUGCUAUCAAAGUUUGAUAACUGUGGCCUCCACAAACGGCAAAUGUCAUUUUGAAAACCAGCUCUGUUGAUAAAAGCUCAAAAUAAACCGUUUAACUUCCAGAGUGUUUAAUCGCAAGAAAAGUGUUAAGACAGACCUCUCCAGUCUUGGAGCCUCAUUCUAUGUAAGGCAUGGGGUGAGGUUGAUACAGGGUCAGAGUGGCGAUAAAAGUCAGGGAUAUUAGUUGUCCACAAUUACUAGCACCUGGCCUAUUACAGCCUGGCCUGCCUGACUCCCAGUUAAACAAACAGCCAGACCAAUUUUAACUUCCUUAUUUUUCUUAGUGGUAUCGUGCUGUAAGAAGUGAAAAGGGCAAGACAGUAGUUUUAGAGGCAGAAAGUAGAGGAUCUGGGAUCUUGUCUGCAACCACUUAUGAGCUGUGUAACAUUAGGUAAAUUACCCAUCUGAGCCUGAGUUCGCUCAUCUGAUAUUUUGAACUCAUCAAGGGCUAUCUAUUGUCAACAAUUAGAAAUAAUGUAUCCUGUACUACACAUGACCAUAAAAUUGUCACCUUACUUAUGCUAUCUUCCCAAAUAAUAUUUCUCUACCUGCUUUGAGAGAAAUAGACUUCAUAACCUUCUACCUACCUAACAAUGUCAAUGCUAAUUAGAUAGGGGAGACAUCUGACCCAAGCUUGAGCCAGACAGAAACUGUUACUUUCUUCUCUCUCUUAUUUGAACACAAGAAGAGUUUACUAGUAUUUUGUAGUAAAACUUGUAACCUAUAAAGUCUAACUU